UAUCUAUUUGUCUCAAACCCUCCUGUCUUCUUUUUCUCUUCUUUAAUCAAAAAUCUCUUCUUUGAUAUGGAAGAUUCUGCAGAAAAAUUAGCAUAUGGCUUCUCUUCUUCAACAUCCCCCUCAAGUUGGAGGGGAGAGAUAAAACCCCCUAACUUGCUUAAGAUAGACCGGUGAGAAGCCCCAGAUAAAGGCUUGGUGAAUAAAUCGGCUAGUUGAUGAUGUGAUGGUACAAAAGAGAGACUAAUUAAGCUAGAAAGGAACUGUUGCCGCAAAAAAUGACAAUCUAACUCAACAUGUUUGGUUCGUUCGUGGAAGACGGGGUUAUGAGCAAUGUGUAUGGCGGUUUGACUGUCAGAGUGAAUCGGAACCAGAAGAGUGGUAAAGAUGAAAGAUCGUUAAGGAGACGAACUAGCCAUGUGAUUUCAGCUGUAACGCAUCGCGUCGAAUGGUACUCUGCCUCAGCAGAGAAAAGGGAAACAAAUACCUGCCUUUUAGACUUCCAGGAAAUUGGUGCUCCCCCAAGUGUGAUGAAGAAGCCACUGACAGACCGACGAGAUUCUUUGCAAGAUGCCCAAUCCGCGUCGCAGUAUGCUAGUAAAUAAAAAAAGGGUUCUGAGGAGAGAAGAAUCCCUGGCCUGGAUCUCGACUCAAAUAGCGUAGAACAUGCAUGGCAGCUAAGAAAUGAGAUGCGCAAGGGCGCUACAUGUAUUGGAUGAGAGAAAGAACAAUUAAGCACAAAUUCGGUCUUGUGUUGGUUAAAAAAUUGAGUUUGCCAACGAGAUGCCGAUAGACAGUACGGUCUGUUAAGAAAGGGCCAACAUCUGCCUACAAUUUGCAUGAUGGAUCAAGUGGAGAGGUGACAACUGCCCCAGAGUAAUCAAACUCUUGCAAGAGUUCCAAGGUUAUAUAGUUUGGCCGCAUGUGACUGGCCAAAUAUAUGCUCAAGGCUACCCCAUAGUUCCUUUGCACUCUUUGAGUAGAGGACACUGUCACCAAUAUCUUUUAGACAAUGAAUUCAGCAGCCAUGAAGUCACCAUGUCAUUGCACCUGCUCCAAAGUGGAUGGUCUUUGGAAGUUAGAUGUGGUACAUCACAACUCCCAUCUAUGAAGCCUAACUUGUUUUUGUCUAGGAGUGCUAUAAGCACUGACCUUCUCCAUCCGGAAAAGCCUCUUCCAUCAAAUGGUGAGUUUACAACUGUCAUACUAGGUGCAUCUGAAGAAUGUAGAAAAUAAGGAUGAUUUGUAUAAUGAUUUGGUCCAUUGUUAGAUCAACUAGAGGCAGUAACAGUAGGAGGAGUCUCUGUUCCAAUCAUGAUUCAAUGAUUGGAUUGAAGAACAAAAUUUGAGAGAGUAAUUGAAUGGAUCGAGCUAGAGCUCUGAAACCAUGAAAGAAAUGUAAAGUAGAUUUGUGAAAUUUUCUCUGAGUCUAUUUCAUCAUUCUGUAUCAACAUUUAUACAAGUAGCUAAUCUAACAAGAAAAAAAAAAAGAAUCUAAUUAUA
Nicotiana tabacum (common tobacco) is the source of this 1500-nucleotide long non-coding RNA. RefSeq lists it as uncharacterized. Lineage: Eukaryota; Viridiplantae; Streptophyta; Magnoliopsida; Solanales; Solanaceae. The record is from RefSeq and is a predicted model, not a curated record.